AUGUUCCAGUUUGAAAAAUUAGCACAGCUUUCGAACAGUUAGCACAGUUUUCGAACAGUUAGCACAAUUUUUGAACAGUUAACACAGUUUUCGAACAGUUAGCACAGUUUUUGAACAGUUAGCACAGCUUUUGAACAGUUAGCACAGUUUUCGA
Molecule: long non-coding RNA, 154 nt
Organism: Bradysia coprophila
Lineage: Eukaryota; Metazoa; Arthropoda; Insecta; Diptera; Sciaridae
Source: RefSeq, a predicted model, not a curated record